Molecule: ribosomal RNA, 567 nt
Filed under: uncultured Actinomycetes bacterium
Lineage: Bacteria; Bacillati; Actinomycetota; Actinomycetes
Description: bacterial SSU rRNA
Rfam family: Bacterial small subunit ribosomal RNA
Source: RNAcentral
CCUACGGGAGGCAGCAGUGGGGAAUAUUGGGCAAUGGAGGAAACUCUGACCCAGCGACGCCGCGUGCGGGAUGAAGGCCUUCGGGUUGUAAACCGCUUUCAGUAGGGAAGAAGCGAAAGUGACGGUACCUACAAAAGAAGCACCGGCUAACUAUGUGCCAGCAGCCGCGGUAAUACAUAGGGUGCAAGCGUUGUCCGGAAUUAUUGGGCGUAAAGAGCUCGUAGGUCGUUUGUUACGUCGGAUGUGAAAACCUGAGGCUCAACCUUAGGCCUGCAUUCGAUACGGGCAAACUAGAGUUUGGUAGGGGAGGCUGGAAUUCCUGGUGUAGCGGUGGAAUGCGCAGAUAUCAGGAGGAACACCAAUGGCGAAGGCAGGUCUCUGGGCCAAUACUGACACUGAGGAGCGAAAGUCUGGGGAGCGAACAGGAUUAGAUACCCUGGUAGUCCAGACCGUAAACGGUGGGCACUAGUUGUGGGAACCUUCCACGGUUUCUGCGACGCAGCUAACGCAUUAAGUGCCCCGCCUGGGGAGUACGAUCGCAAGAUUAAAACUCAAAGGAAUUGACGG